UGCAGUCGACGCUGAGCUGGGUGCUUGCACCUGGUGGAUGAGUGGCGAACGGGUGAGUAAUACGUGAGUGACCUUCCUUGGACUCUGGGAUAAGCCCGGGAAACUGGGUCUAAUACCGGAUACGACCAGUCCUCGCAUGGGGUGCUGGUGGAAAGGGUUUGUACUGGUUCUUGAUGGGCUCACGUCCUAUCAGCUUGUUGGUGAGGUAAUGGCUUACCAAGGCGACGACGGGUAGCCGGCCUGAGAGGGUGACCGGCCACACUGGGACUGAGACACGGCCCAGACUCCUACGGGAGGCAGCAGUGGGGAAUAUUGCACAAUGGGCGCAAGCCUGAUGCAGCGACGCCGCGUGGGGGAUGACGGCCUUCGGGUUGUAAACCUCUUUCAGCAGGGAAGAAGCGAAAGUGACGGUACCUGCAGAAGAAGCGCCGGCUAACUACGUGCCAGCAGCCGCGGUAAUACGUAGGGCGCAAGCGUUGUCCGGAAUUAUUGGGCGUAAAGAGCUCGUAGGCGGUUUGUCGCGUCUGCUGUGAAAGCCCGGGGCUCAACCCCGGGUGUGCAGUGGGUACGGGCAGGCUGGAGUGCAGUAGGGGAGACUGGAAUUCCUGGUGUAGCGGUGAAAUGCGCAGAUAUCAGGAGGAACACCGAUGGCGAAGGCAGGUCUCUGGGCUGUUACUGACGCUGAGGAGCGAAAGCAUGGGGAGCGAACAGGAUUAGAUACCCUGGUAGUCCAUGCCGUAAACGUUGGGCACUAGGUGU
Molecule: ribosomal RNA, 759 nt
Filed under: Rothia koreensis
Lineage: Bacteria; Bacillati; Actinomycetota; Actinomycetes; Micrococcales; Micrococcaceae
Description: bacterial SSU rRNA
Rfam family: Bacterial small subunit ribosomal RNA
Source: RNAcentral